GUGCUCACGGUGGUGCACAUGUACUGAAAUUGGAACAAUUCUAGAGAAUAUUAGCAUGGCUCCUGCGCAAGAAUGACAUGCAAAUUUGUGAAGUGUUCUGCAUUUUU
Small nuclear RNA from Octodon degus (degu), 107 nucleotides. NCBI's taxonomy places the organism in Eukaryota, Metazoa, Chordata, Mammalia, Rodentia, Octodontidae. The record is from Ensembl.